UGCAGGAAGCUUAAAGAAACAUUCCAUGACAAAUUGAUUGAUUGGUGCCAUGUCUGAGAGAAUGGGAACGGAAGUCAGCGGCGCAGUGCAUUCUGGGACAAAAAGGGCAUUUUCCUCCAUUAGGUGACCUGACGAUCGUGGGCACGGACGUUACAUCCAACAACACAACAGCAAAACAACCUGCUCACAUCUGAAGGAGGUGCAGUAGGACACACAGUAGGCUUGUUGGUCCAUCAUGCCGUUCAACCCCAUUUCCUCAGUUGAUCAACCUUCAAGUUUGCAGAGACAUCAUAUAGAAAUGCUCUCUCCCUAUGCUGGUGUUCCUGAUCAAUGCAGUGGUGUCAGAAAGGGUUGAUGUAGCUCCUGAGCUCCUUCUAGCCUGGAUGGAUUUUUGAUGUCCAGAACUCACCUUUUUUGAUUUCGCAAGCCACAGAAAGGCAACACCUUUGUGACAUCUCAAUGGUUUGUGCACCUGGGCUUUUCCAUGCCAAAAGACUGUUGAAAUCUUUGGACUUUUGCCCUAAUCACUAUGUAGGAAUGGACACAUUCCUGGUAAUUAUCAACACCUUAUGUUUACUGAUGGGACAAAGAAAACUGUAAUUUCUAAGAAUAAAA
Long non-coding RNA from Sardina pilchardus (European sardine), 615 nucleotides. RefSeq lists it as uncharacterized. Lineage: Eukaryota; Metazoa; Chordata; Actinopteri; Clupeiformes; Clupeidae. The transcript is spliced from 5 exons. The record is from RefSeq and is a predicted model, not a curated record.